GAAUCAAUGGCACACUACUUUUACUUUUUGCAAGAUCACAAUGUGAUUGUAAGUCGAAAUGCCAUAUUCCUAGAAGAACAGUUUAUCCAGGAUGAUGGCAGUGGGAGGUUAGUUAAGGUUGAAGAGAAGGUCUAUAAAGAGGAAAGAGCUAUGGAUCCCUAGAAAUCCAUUAUUUAUGAGCUAGUAGUUGAUGUUCCUCUACCACCCCGU
Molecule: long non-coding RNA, 210 nt
Filed under: Elaeis guineensis (African oil palm)
Lineage: Eukaryota; Viridiplantae; Streptophyta; Magnoliopsida; Arecales; Arecaceae
Description: long non-coding RNA (EGUI_LNC060778)
Source: RNAcentral